AGUCAGCCACUCUUUAUCUUUGUACAAGGUCAUGUCUGUCUUGGAGAACUCAUCUCCAAAGAAGCAAGAGGGAGGCUGCGCUGGUAACUCCUGUGGGAAGACUAACUGGGGCGCCAUCACUGGCACCAGCGCACUAUCGCUGUUCCCACACAGGAUGUCAGCCCAUUACAGGGACUAGCCCAGCUCCUGCCUCUAGUGCUUUGGUCUGCUUGAAAACUCAGACAUCAAUAAGGCAAUUAAGUAUACAUAUUGAAUCCUACAAAGCGUGGAUUAUGCAGUACAGCCCACCUCUAGUCUCAAGUAAAAGGAGAGACAGAUCAACAUUUUUCAGGACUUUACAGGACCCCUAA
This 350-nucleotide long non-coding RNA is filed under the name Numida meleagris (helmeted guineafowl). RNAcentral's name for it is "lncRNA (ENSNMEG00000003463.1)". Lineage: Eukaryota; Metazoa; Chordata; Aves; Galliformes; Numididae. The record is from RNAcentral.